UUUCCGUAGGUGAACCUGCGGAAGGAUCAUUAUUGUAUAACCGAGGUGCGAGGGCUGUCGCUGACCCGAAAGGUCGUGCACGCCCGAGUGCCCUCACACACAUCCAUCUCACCCCUAAGUGCACCACCGCGUGGGUCCCCCUUUGGCUUGUUCGGAGGGGGGCUUACGUUUUCACACAAACUUUGUAUGCAGUGUAGAAUGUAUUUUUUGUUUUUGCGAUCACGCAAUCAAUACAACUUUCAACAACGGACCUCUUGGCUCUCGCAUCGAUAAGAACGCAGC
RNAcentral lists this unclassified non-coding RNA (282 nucleotides) under plant metagenome. RNAcentral's name for it is "partial contains small subunit ribosomal RNA, internal transcribed spacer 1, and 5.8S ribosomal RNA". The record is from RNAcentral.